RNAcentral lists this ribosomal RNA (408 nucleotides) under uncultured bacterium. RNAcentral's name for it is "partial 16S ribosomal RNA". It matches the Rfam family "Bacterial small subunit ribosomal RNA", at positions 28 to 526 of the family's 1533-position model. The record is from RNAcentral.
AUUGAACGCUGGCGGCGUGCUUAACACAUGCAAGUCGAACGGAGUGGCGAACGGGUGAGUAACACGUGGGUGACCUGCCCUGCACUUCGGGAUAAGCCUGGGAAACUGGGUCUAAUACCGGAUAGUGUGGGAUGGGCCCGCGGCCUAUCAGCUUGUUGGUGGGGUAAUGGCCUACCAAGGCGGCGACGGGUAGCCGGCCGGAGAGGGUGGACGGCCACAUUGGGACUGAGACAGGGCCCAGACUAGGAAGGGAGGCAGCAGUGGGGAGUAUUGCACAAUGGGCGGAAGCCUGAUGCAGGGACGCCGAGUGGGGGAUGACGGCAUUCGGGUUGUAAACUCCUUUCACCAUCGACGCGGUAGAUGGAGAAGAAGCACCGGCUAACUACGUGCCAGCCGCCGCGGUAAUUC